CCUACGGGAGGCAGCAGUGGGGAAUAUUGGACAAUGGGGGCAACCCUGAUCCAGCAAUGCCGCGUGUGUGAAGAAGGUCUUCGGAUCGUAAAGCACUUUCGACAGGGACGAUGAUGACGGUACCUGUAGAAGAAGCCCCGGCUAACUUCGUGCCAGCAGCCGCGGUAAUACGAAGGGGGCUAGCGUUGCUCGGAAUUACUGGGCGUAAAGGGCGCGUAGGCGGCUUGGCCAGUCAGGCGUGAAAUUCCUGGGCUUAACCUGGGGACUGCGCUUGAUACUGCCAGGCUUGAGGCCGAGAGAGGGUGGUGGAAUUCCCAGUGUAGAGGUGAAAUUCGUAGAUAUUGGGAAGAACACCGGUGGCGAAGGCGACCACCUGGCUCGGUACUGACGCUGAGGCGCGACAGCGUGGGGAGCAAACAGGAUUAGAUACCCUGGUAGUCCACGCCGUAAACGAUGUGUGCUGGAUGUUGGGGUUCCUAGAAUCUCAGUGUCGUAGCUAACGCGGUAAGCACACCGCCUGGGGAGUACGGCCGCAAGGUUGAAACUCAAAUGAAUUGACGG
This 561-nucleotide ribosomal RNA is filed under the name uncultured bacterium. Its description in RNAcentral is "bacterial SSU rRNA". It matches the Rfam family "Bacterial small subunit ribosomal RNA", at positions 338 to 916 of the family's 1533-position model. The record is from RNAcentral.